Molecule: transfer RNA, 84 nt
Filed under: Motilibacter rhizosphaerae
Lineage: Bacteria; Bacillati; Actinomycetota; Actinomycetes; Motilibacterales; Motilibacteraceae
Description: Actinomycetales bacterium RS-16 tRNA
Rfam family: tRNA
About the family: Transfer RNA (tRNA) molecules are approximately 80 nucleotides in length.
Source: Rfam by way of RNAcentral
GCGGGAGUGGCGGAACUGGCAGACGCGCGGGACUUAGGAUCCCGUGCCCGCGAGGGCUUAGGGGUUCGAGCCCCCUCUCCCGCA